GCGACGGGGUAACCCCGAGCUAAUCGUAAUAAAAGUGGCCCCAGUUCAGAUUGAGGUCUGCAACUUGACCUCAUGAAGUUGGAAUCGCUAGUAAUCGCGGGUCAGCACACCGCGGUGAAUACGUUCUCAAGUCUUGUACUCGGGUCGCCAUGCGAUCGAGUACGCAAGUUGGUGAUCAAGCACUAAUUUU
RNAcentral lists this ribosomal RNA (190 nucleotides) under bacterium. RNAcentral describes it as "partial 16S ribosomal RNA". It matches the Rfam family "Bacterial small subunit ribosomal RNA", at positions 1249 to 1533 of the family's 1533-position model. The record is from RNAcentral.